This 709-nucleotide ribosomal RNA is filed under the name uncultured bacterium. Its description in RNAcentral is "bacterial SSU rRNA". It matches the Rfam family "Bacterial small subunit ribosomal RNA", at positions 8 to 762 of the family's 1533-position model. The record is from RNAcentral.
AGAGUUUGAUCCUGGCUCAGAGCGAACGCUGGCGGCAGGCUUAACACAUGCAAGUCGAGCGCCGUAGCAAUACGGAGCGGCAGACGGGUGAGUAACGCGUGGGAACGUGCCCUUUAGUUCGGAAUAACUCAGGGAAACUUGAGCUAAUACCGGAUAAGCCCUUCGGGGGAAAGAUUUAUCGCUGAAGGAUCGGCCCGCGUAAGAUUAGCUAGUUGGUGAGGUAAUGGCUCACCAAGGCUAUGAUCUUUAGCUGUUCUGAGAGGAAGAUCAGCCACACUGGGACUGAGACACGGCCCAGACUCCUACGGGAGGCAGCAGUGGGGAAUAUUGGACAAUGGGCGCAAGCCUGAUCCAGCCAUGCCGCGUGAGUGAUGAAGGCCUUAGGGUUGUAAAGCUCUUUUACCAGGGAAGAUAAUGACGGUACCUGGAGAAUAAGCCCCGGCUAACUUCGUGCCAGCAGCCGCGGUAAUACGAAGGGGGCUAGCGUUGCUCGGAAUCACUGGGCGUAAAGCGCACGUAGGUGGGCCGUUAAGUCAGGGGUGAAAUCCCGGAGCUCAACUCCGGAACUGCCUUUGAUACUGGCGAUCUUGGAGUCCGGGAGAGGUGAGUGGAACUGCGAGUGUAGAGGUGAAAUUCGUAGAUAUUCGCAAGAACACCAGUGGCGAAGGCGGCUCACUGGCCCGGUACUGACACUGAGGUGCGAAAGCGU